This 893-nucleotide ribosomal RNA is filed under the name uncultured bacterium. Its description in RNAcentral is "bacterial SSU rRNA". It matches the Rfam family "Bacterial small subunit ribosomal RNA", at positions 30 to 890 of the family's 1533-position model. The record is from RNAcentral.
CGAACACUGGCGGCGUGCCUAAUACAUGCAAGUCGAACGAAGCUUUCUUUCACCGAAUGCUUGCAUUCACCGAAAGAAGCUUAGUGGCGAACGGGUGAGUAACACGUAGGCAACCUGCCCAAAAGAGGGGGAUAACACUUGGAAACAGGUGCUAAUACCGCAUAACCAUGAACACCGCAUGAUGUUCAUGUAAAAGACGGCUUUUGCUGUCACUUUUGGAUGGGCCUGCGGCGUAUUAACUUGUUGGUGGGGUAACGGCCUACCAAGGUGAUGAUACGUAGCCGAACUGAGAGGUUGAUCGGCCACAUUGGGACUGAGACACGGCCCAAACUCCUACGGGAGGCAGCAGUAGGGAAUCUUCCACAAUGGACGAAAGUCUGAUGGAGCAACGCCGCGUGAAUGAAGAAGGCCUUCGGGUCGUAAAAUUCUGUUGUCAGAGAAGAACGUGCGUGAGAGUAACUGUUCACGUAUUGACGGUAUCUGACCAGAAAGCCACGGCUAACUACGUGCCAGCAGCCGCGGUAAUACGUAGGUGGCAAGCGUUGUCCGGAUUUAUUGGGCGUAAAGGGAACGCAGGCGGUCUUUUAAGUCUGAUGUGAAAGCCUUCGGCUUAACCGAAGUAGUGCAUUGGAAACUGGAAGACUUGAGUGCAGAAGAGGAGAGUGGAACUCCAUGUGUAGCGGUGAAAUGCGUAGAUAUAUGGAAGAACACCAGUGGCGAAAGCGGCUCUCUGGUCUGUAACUGACGCUGAGGUUCGAAAGCGUGGGUAGCAAACAGGAUUAGAUACCCUGGUAGUCCACGCCGUAAACGAUGAGUGCUAAGUGUUGGAGGGUUUCCGCCCUUCAGUGCUGCAGCUAACGCAUUAAGCACUCCGCCUGGGGAGUACGGUCGCA